RNAcentral lists this ribosomal RNA (254 nucleotides) under uncultured bacterium. RNAcentral's name for it is "partial 16S ribosomal RNA". It matches the Rfam family "Bacterial small subunit ribosomal RNA", at positions 524 to 776 of the family's 1533-position model. The record is from RNAcentral.
UACGUAGGGGGCGAGCGUUGUCCGGAAUUAUUGGGCGUAAAGAGCUCGUAGGCGGUGUGUCGCGUCGGCCGUGAAAACUUGGGGCUUAACUCUGAGCGUGCGGUCGAUACGGGCAUCACUUGAGUUCGGCAGGGGAGACUGGAAUUCCUGGUGUAGCGGUGAAAUGCGCAGAUAUCAGGAGGAACACCGGUGGCGAAGGCGGGUCUCUGGGCCGAUACUGACGCUGAGGAGCGAAAGCAUGGGGAGCGAACAGG